RNAcentral lists this ribosomal RNA (491 nucleotides) under uncultured bacterium. RNAcentral describes it as "partial 16S ribosomal RNA". It matches the Rfam family "Bacterial small subunit ribosomal RNA", at positions 29 to 506 of the family's 1533-position model. The record is from RNAcentral.
AGUGAACGCUGGCGGUAGGCCUAACACAUGCAAGUCGAACGGCAGCACAGUAAGAGCUUGCUCUUACGGGUGGCGAGUGGCGGACGGGUGAGGAAUACAUCGGAAUCUACUUUUUCGUGGGGGAUAACGUAGGGAAACUUACGCUAAUACCGCAUACGACCUACGGGUGAAAGCAGGGGAUCUUCGGACCUUGCGCGAUUGAAUGAGCCGAUGUCGGAUUAGCUAGUUGGCGGGGUAAAGGCCCACCAAGGCGACGAUCCGUAGCUGGUCUGAGAGGAUGAUCAGCCACACUGGAACUGAGACACGGUCCAGACACCUACGGGAGGCAGCAGUGGGGAAUAUUGGACAAUGGGCGCAAGCCUGAUCCAGCCAUACCGCGUGGGAGAAGAAGGCCUUCGGGUUGUAAAGCCCUUUUGUUGGGAAAGAAAAGCAGCAGGUUAAUACCCCGCUGUUCUGACGGUACCCAAAGAAUAAGCACCGGCUAACUUCGU